This 496-nucleotide ribosomal RNA is filed under the name uncultured bacterium. RNAcentral describes it as "partial 16S ribosomal RNA". It matches the Rfam family "Bacterial small subunit ribosomal RNA", at positions 28 to 507 of the family's 1533-position model. The record is from RNAcentral.
GAUGAACGCUGGCGGCGUGCCUAAUACAUGCAAGUCGAGCGAACAGACGAGGAGCUUGCUCCUCUGACGUUAGCGGCGGACGGGUGAGUAACACGUGGAUAACCUACCUAUAAGACUGGGAUAACUUCGGGAAACCGGAGCUAAUACCGGAUAAUAUAUUGAACCGCAUGGUUCAAUAGUGAAAAAGGGUUUGCUUUCAAUUAAAGAAGGAUCCGCGCCGCAUUAGCUAGUUGGUAAGGUAACGGCUUACCAAGGCAACGAUGCGUAGCCGACCUGAGAGGGUGAUCGGCCACACUGGAACUGAGACACGGUCCAGACUCCUACGGGAGGCAGCAGUAGGGAAUCUUCCGCAAUGGGCGAAAGCCUGACGGAGCAACGCCGCGUGAGUGAUGAAGGUCUUCGGAUCGUAAAACUCUGUUAUUAGGGAAGAACAAAUGUGUAAGUAACUAUGCACGUCUUGACGGUACCUAAUCAGAAAGCCACGGCUAACUACGUG